Molecule: ribosomal RNA, 468 nt
Filed under: uncultured bacterium
Lineage: Bacteria
Description: partial 16S ribosomal RNA
Rfam family: Bacterial small subunit ribosomal RNA
Source: RNAcentral
GACGAACGCUGGCGGCGUGCUUAACACAUGCAAGUCGAACGGAAAGGCCCUGCUUUUGUGGGGUGCUCGAGUGGCGAACGGGUGAGUAACACGUGAGUAACCUGCCCUUGACUUUGGGAUAACUUCAGGAAACUGGGGCUAAUACCGGAUAGGAGCUCCUGCUGCAUGGUGGGGGUUGGAAAGUUUCGGCGGUAGGGGAUGGACUCGCGGCUUAUCAGCUUGUUGGUGGGGUAGUGGCUUACCAAGGCUUUGACGGGUAGCCGGCCUGAGAGGGUGGACGGCCACAUGGGGACUGAGGUACGGACCAGACUCCUACGGGAGGCAGAAGUGGAGAAUAUUGCACAAUGGGCGGAAGCCUGAUGCAGCAACGCCGCGUGCGGGAUGACGGCCUUCGGGUUGUAAACCGCUUUCGCCUGUGACGAAGCGUGAGUGACGGUAAUGGGUAAAGAAGCACCGGCUAACUACGUG